AUCUAUUGGAUGGUCUUAUUGGUACUAUAGUAUUGCCAGUCUAAUCUAUUGGAUGGUCUUAUAGGUACUAUAGUAUUGCCAGUCUAAUCUAUUGGAUGGUCUUAUUGGUACUAUAGUAUUGCCAGUCUAAUCUAUUGGAUGGUCUUAUAGGUACUAUAGUAUUGCCAGUCUAAUCUAUUGGAUGGUCUUAUAGGUACUAUAGUAUUGCCAGUCUAAUCUAUUGGAUGGUCUUAUAGGUACUAUAGUAUUGCCAGUCUAAUCUAUUGGAUGGUCUUACAGGUACUAUAGUAUUGCCAGUCUAAUCUAUUGGAUGGUCUUAUAGGUACUAUAGUAUUGCCAGUCUAAUCUAUUGGAUGGUCUUAUAGGUACUAUAGUAUUGCCAGUCUAAUCUAUUGGAUGGUCUUAUAGGUACUAUAGUAUUGCCAGUCUAAUCUAUUGGAUGGUCUUAUAGGUACUAUAGUAUUGCCAGUCUAAUCUAUUGGAUGGUCUUAUUGGUACUAUAGUAUUGCCAGUCUAAUCUAUUGGAUGGUCUUAUAGGUACUAUAGUAUUGCCAGUCUAAUCUAUUGGAUGGUCUUAUAGGUACUAUAGUAUUGCCAGUCUAAUCUAUUGGAUGGUCUUAUAGGUACUAUAGUAUUGCCAGCCUAAUCUAUUGGAUGGUCUUAUAGGCACUAUAGUAUUGGAUGGUCUUAUAGGUACUAUAGUAUUGGAUGGUCUUAUAGGCACUAUAGUAUUGGAUGGUCUUAUAGGCACUAUAGUAUUGGAUGGUCUUAUAGGUACUAUAGUAUUGGAUGGUCUUACAGGUACUAUAGUAUUGGAUGGUCUUAUAGGUACUAUAGUAUUGGAUGGUCUUACAGGUACUAUAGUAUUGGAUGGUCUUAUAGGUACUAUAGUAUUGGAUGGUCUUAUAGGUACUAUAGUAUUGCCAGUCUAAUCUAUUGGAUGGUCUUAUAGGUACUAUAGUAUUGCCAGUCUAAUCUAUUGGAUGGUCUUAUAGGUACUAUAGUAUUGACAGCCUAAUCUAUUGGAUGGUCUUAUAGGUACUAUAGUAUUGCCAGUCUAAUCUAUUGGAUGGUCUUAUAGGUACUAUAGUAUUGCCAGUCUAAUCUAUUGGAUGGUCUUAUAGGUACUAUAGUAUUGGAUGGUCUUAUAGGUACUAUAGUAUUACCAGUCUAAUCUAUUGGAUGGUCUUAUAGGUACUAUAGUAUUGGAUGGUCUUAUAGGUACUAUAGUAUUACCAGUCUAAUCUAUUGGAUGGUCUUAUUGGUACUAUAGUAUUGGAUGGUCUUAUAGGUACUAUAGUAUUGGAUGGUCUUAUAGGUACUAUAGUAUUACCAGUCUAAUCUAUUGGAUGGUCUUAUAGGUACUAUAGUAUUGGAUGGUCUUAUAGGUACUAUAGUAUUACCAGUCUAAUCUAUUGGAUGGUCUUAUUGGUACUAUAGUAUUGGAUGGUCUUAUAGGUACUAUAGUAUUGGAUGGUCUAAUAGGUACUAUAGUAUUGGAUGGUCUUAUAGGUACUAUAGUAUUGCCAGUCUAAUCUAUUGGAUGGUCUUAUAGGUACUAUAGUAUUGCCAGUCUAAUCUAUUGGAUGGUCUUAUAGGUACUAUAGUAUUGCCAGUCUAAUCUAUUGGAUGGUCUUAUAGGUACUAUAGUAUUGGAUGGUCUUAUAGGUACUAUAGUAUUGCCAGUCUAAUCUAUUGGAUGGUCUUAUAGGUACUAUAGUAUUGGAUGGUCUUAUAGGUACUAUAGUAUUGCCAGUCUAAUCUAUUGGAUGGUCUUAUAGGUACUAUAGUAUUGCCAGUCUAAUCUAUUGGAUGGUCUUAUAGGUACUAUAGUAUUGCCAGCCUAAUCUAUUGGAUGGUCUUAUAGGU
This is a long non-coding RNA of Oncorhynchus keta (chum salmon), 1869 nucleotides long. RefSeq lists it as uncharacterized. Lineage: Eukaryota; Metazoa; Chordata; Actinopteri; Salmoniformes; Salmonidae. The transcript has 5 exons. The record is from RefSeq and is a predicted model, not a curated record.